This 530-nucleotide ribosomal RNA is filed under the name Bifidobacterium longum subsp. suillum. RNAcentral describes it as "bacterial SSU rRNA". It matches the Rfam family "Bacterial small subunit ribosomal RNA", at positions 162 to 707 of the family's 1533-position model. The record is from RNAcentral. Lineage: Bacteria; Bacillati; Actinomycetota; Actinomycetes; Bifidobacteriales; Bifidobacteriaceae.
GGUAAUGCCGGAUGCUCCAGUUGAUCGCAUGGUCUUCUGGGAAAGCUUUCGCGGUAUGGGAUGGGGUCGCGUCCUAUCAGCUUGACGGCGGGGUAACGGCCCACCGUGGCUUCGACGGGUAGCCGGCCUGAGAGGGCGACCGGCCACAUUGGGACUGAGAUACGGCCCAGACUCCUACGGGAGGCAGCAGUGGGGAAUAUUGCACAAUGGGCGCAAGCCUGAUGCAGCGACGCCGCGUGAGGGAUGGAGGCCUUCGGGUUGUAAACCUCUUUUAUCGGGGAGCAAGCGAGAGUGAGUUUACCCGUUGAAUAAGCACCGGCUAACUACGUGCCAGCAGCCGCGGUAAUACGUAGGGUGCAAGCGUUAUCCGGAAUUAUUGGGCGUAAAGGGCUCGUAGGCGGUUCGUCGCGUCCGGUGUGAAAGUCCAUCGCUUAACGGUGGAUCCGCGCCGGGUACGGGCGGGCUUGAGUGCGGUAGGGGAGACUGGAAUUCCCGGUGUAACGGUGGAAUGUGUAGAUAUCGAAAAGAAA